Molecule: long non-coding RNA, 585 nt
Filed under: Mytilus galloprovincialis (Mediterranean mussel)
Lineage: Eukaryota; Metazoa; Mollusca; Bivalvia; Mytilida; Mytilidae
Source: RNAcentral
UUCGCGUGCCGAAUUACAUGUACCCCGAGGCAAUUUUAAUGACAAUACGAUAGGUAAUAAUGCAAAUACAUAUCCUAGAAGGUUUAAUUCUGUACAAAACAAUUUUAAUGACAACACGAUAGGUAAUAAUGCAAAUACAUAUCCUAGAAGGUUUAAUUCUGUACAAAACAAGUCUGACUCGACAGGACAACAAAGAAGAACAUUCUUCUGUUGGAACUGUGGUAAACCAGGUCAUUAUGAAAGAAAUUGUAGGGCAAGAUCAAAUGAACAAUUUAGGAAACCAAGGGAAAAUUUAAACUAAGACGGUCUCUUUAUGCUGAAGCCAAUAGGGAGACUUUUAAGGGAAUUAAGGGAAAUAAGAGGUUUGAGAGAAAAAUUAAUUAUAGAUAUACAAAACCUGUAUAUAAUAUAUAUGAAUCAUGGUUAAAAAAAAUAAAUAACAAAUCAACAGACUUUAACAAUGCAUGUUCUAACAAUUCUACCUAUCACGAGAAUAAAAAUUAUUAUAAAAGAUUCAACAAUCGUUAUUCAAAACCGGAAGUAAACAAAGAAAAAAUGGCGCGAAAUUUCAAAUCAAAACCGGAA